RNAcentral lists this ribosomal RNA (464 nucleotides) under uncultured bacterium. RNAcentral describes it as "partial 16S ribosomal RNA". It matches the Rfam family "Bacterial small subunit ribosomal RNA", at positions 339 to 795 of the family's 1533-position model. The record is from RNAcentral.
CUACGGGUCGCAGCAGUGGGGAAUAUUGCACAAUGGGCGCAAGCCUGAUGCAGCCAUGCCGCGUGUAUGAAGAAGGCCUUCGGGUUGUAAAGUACUUUCAGCGGGGAGGAAGGGAGUAAAGUUAAUACCUUUGUUCAUUGACGUUACCCGCAGAAGAAGCACCGGCUAACUCCGUGCCAGCAGCCGCGGUAAUACGGAGGGUGCAAGCGUUAAUCGGAAUUACUGGGCGUAAAGCGCACGCAGGCGGUUUGUUAAGUCAGAUGUGAAAUCCCCGGGCUCAACCUGGGAACUGCAUCUGAUACUGGCAAGCUAGAGUCUCGUAGAGGGGGGUAGAAUUCCAGGUGUAGCGGUGAAAUGCGUAGAGAUCUGGAGGAAUACCGGCGGCGAAGGCGGCCCCCUGGACGAAGACUGACGCUCAGGUGCGAAAGCGUGGGGAGCAAACAGGAUUAGAUACCCGCGUAGUC